UACGAAGGGGGCGAGCGUUGUUCGGAAUUACUGGGCGUAAAGCGUGCGCAGGCGGUUCGUUAAGUCAGAUGUGAAAGCCCCGGGCUCAACCUGGGAACUGCAUUUGAAACUGGCGGGCUUGAGUGUGGCAGAGGGGGGUGGAAUUCCGCGUGUAGCAGUGAAAUGCGUAGAUAUGCGGAGGAACACCGAUGGCGAAGGCAAUCCUCUGGACCUGUACUGACGCUCAUGCACGAAAGCGUGGGGAGCAAACAGG
RNAcentral lists this ribosomal RNA (253 nucleotides) under uncultured bacterium. Its description in RNAcentral is "partial 16S ribosomal RNA". It matches the Rfam family "Bacterial small subunit ribosomal RNA", at positions 524 to 776 of the family's 1533-position model. The record is from RNAcentral.